CGCGUAGGUGGUAGUGCAAGUCUGAGGUGGAAUCCCAGGGCUUAACCCUGGAACUGCCUUGGAAACUGCACUACUUGAGUCAGUGAGGGGAGGGUAGAAUUCCUGGUGUAGCGGUGAAAUGCGUAGAUAUCAGGAGGAAGGCCGGUGGCGAAGGCGGCCCUCUGGCGCUGAACUGACACUGAGGCGCGAAAGCGUGGGUAGCAAACAGGAUUAGAUACCCUGGUAGUCCACGCCCUAAACGGUGGGUACUAGGUGUAGGGCUCGUAAGGGUUCUGUGCCGAAGCGAAAGCAUUAAGUACCCCGCCUGGGGAGUACGGCCGCAAGGGUUGAA
Molecule: ribosomal RNA, 331 nt
Filed under: uncultured bacterium
Lineage: Bacteria
Description: bacterial SSU rRNA
Rfam family: Bacterial small subunit ribosomal RNA
Source: RNAcentral